RNAcentral lists this non-coding RNA (96 nucleotides) under Anaerosalibacter massiliensis. Its description in RNAcentral is "TPP riboswitch (THI element)". It matches the Rfam family "TPP riboswitch aptamer (THI element)". Rfam says of the family: Vitamin B(1) in its active form thiamin pyrophosphate (TPP) is an essential coenzyme that is synthesised by coupling of pyrimidine and thiazole moieties in bacteria. The previously detected thiamin-regulatory element, thi box was extended, resulting in a new, highly conserved RNA secondary structure, the THI element, which is widely distributed in eubacteria and also occurs in some archaea. The record is from RNAcentral. Lineage: Bacteria; Bacillati; Bacillota; Tissierellia; Tissierellales; Sporanaerobacteraceae.
UUUUAUUGGGGAGCUUUAGAGGCUGAGAGGAAACAAUAAUUGUUUCGACCCUUAAACCUGAACUAGGUAAUGCUAGCGGAGGAAAUAUAAUAUUAU